GAUGAACGCUGGCGGCGUGCUUAACACAUGCAAGUCGAACGGGAAACAUUUUAUUGAAGCUUCGGCAGAUUUAGCUUGUUUCUAGUGGCGGACGGGUGAGUAACGCGUGAGAAACCUGCCUUUCAGUGGGGGACAACAGUUGGAAACGACUGCUAAUACCGCAUAAGCGCACAGCUUCGCAUGAAGCAGUGUGAAAAACUGAGGUGGUACGAGAUGGGCCCGCGUUGGAUUAGGUAGUUGGUGGGGUAACGGCCUACCAAGCCGACGAUCCAUAGCCGACCUGAGAGGGUGACCGGCCACAUUGGGACUGAGACACGGCCCAA
Molecule: ribosomal RNA, 323 nt
Filed under: uncultured bacterium
Lineage: Bacteria
Description: bacterial SSU rRNA
Rfam family: Bacterial small subunit ribosomal RNA
Source: RNAcentral